AGAGAGGUACCUUGUUUGGACUGAUUGGGGACUGUGUAGAAGCUGAAGCAGGAUCUGGAGCUGGGAUUGAAGCAGGAGAGGGCUCAACUGCCAUUCUUUUUCUGUGCACACUCUCUUCCAACCCGUAAACAGAUUUUCUUCUUUGCGGUAGCUUCAUUUUGGGAGCCUUUUGGACAAAAGAGACUUGCAAGGAGCUUAGGAGACUAAAUGAGAGGUAGAGAGGAAAGGAUUUUAGAAGAAAAAGCAAAGAUUUUGGGG
RNAcentral lists this long non-coding RNA (258 nucleotides) under Elaeis guineensis (African oil palm). RNAcentral's name for it is "long non-coding RNA (EGUI_LNC074020)". Lineage: Eukaryota; Viridiplantae; Streptophyta; Magnoliopsida; Arecales; Arecaceae. The record is from RNAcentral.